AUCUUUAGUAUUAGGAUAUUAUUAACAUGUUCUCUCCGACUUUCGACAUACAGUAUCAUCCACGUUGUGUUCAGGUCAAUUAGUUGUGUGCUUGAGACUACAUAAUUUUAUUAAUAUCUUGCUCACUUGAAACAAGAAAAGCUAGAGAUCUUAGUGUUUAUUAUUUGACUCGAAACUAUAGAAAUGCCAUAUUCUAUCCGUCUUGUAUUGUUUUUUUGGGAAUUGAAGUAUGCUCUGACGUAGGAUUUUUUUGUUAGCAAUUAGCAUAGUCCCGGUCGUAAAUUAUUACAGUGAUGUUUUUGUUUCUUUGCCUAUUUCCAGUUGACAUGUAAUAUUUUGUGUUCAUUGCCUUGUUCAAAAUGCAUUUGCUCAUGUUAUAACUGAUAAAAUUGUUUAUAAAUUCAGAUCCUUAGUGCGAUAUUUUGUCAUGAUUUAGAACUAGGCAGAUAUAUAUUAUUUCACAGAUGGACGAACGGCUCAGAAAUGACAUGUGAGUCCUAUCACAGCCUGCAGUCUAACACUGACGGCAGGAAGCCCAAUGACAUCCUCUUCUUCUCCCCUGGUUGUUGGAGGAUGGCUCACAACAGCAUGGAGCAUUUAGCGCAGGCGAUAUUCUUUCUGUUUCUUCUGUUUUCUUCUUUGGUUCUUUCUUCUUUCACUUUAUGGAUUUCAAUCGUUAGUUUGCACAUGGUGAGAUACCUAUUUUCUUGAAUUUUUCUGGGUUGUUUUGUGGUGCAUGCUAUAAUUACUACUACUUUUAGGUUCUGAUUUUCUUGCAGCGCUGAUGAGAUGGCACACAUCUAGGAGGAUGCUAAGCAAUGUGGUGAGGAACGGUGGUUGACUGGUUGCUCAGCAUUGGUAGUAGUGUGCCCUCGAAGUUCGACAGCGGGUGUCACUGAUGUGGUAAUGAAGAGUGGAUAGGGAAGAGAAGAGGGCGGCUAUGAGCUCAUGUUUUUUAAUCUUCAUCUAAGAUGAAAUCAUUGUUCUAUUGGGAAAGGAUUAUUUCUACUUCACUGGUUAGGGUCAAGCCAUCUUCGAAGAUGGCUCCAAGGUCAUACGAGCUCCAUUCGGGCCGCUGCUGAGCAGCUGAGACCUCUUCAUUGUGGGCCCGGUGGUUGGCCAGGCUUCGCCUUCUCCAUCCUUGCUUGACGACCUCGUCCUGAGCACAGCGGAGAACAGGUCGCCGGGAUGGAUAUUGCAGCGGCUCGUCGUCUUCUCCCGCAGCUAGCCUUGUCCCUUUGCCUCCCCCUUUGGUUUGAUUAACUAAACGAUAGGUGCACCUACACUUGAUCUCAGGUCUCGCUCUCAGUUUACCUCUAGCAGGCUCAAAUAUUUUUUUCUCUGUUCUUCUUUCCUAACGAACUUGCUAUUUCAGUUCGCACAGGUUUAUUGGACACGAACCCAUACUUUCUAAUCUGAAUAAGGUGGUAGAGCUUGUUUUGCAGCCAAAUAUUUAUUUCUGCAUAAAUUUUGUUUAGGUCAUUGCAGUUGUUCAUGGUCUACGAAGCAAGAUUUUUUUCAUUGUGCAAUGACUGUUCUGAUUCAGCCCAACAAUUCAACCAUGUGAUCUUGGUUUACAGUGUUAAGAAUUAUUCAGCAUGCUCUAAAUUUUGGCGCGCUUCAUCAUUUUGAAUUAUUUACUGAAAAUGAGCAAAUGAGUCUGUGCACAAAACAAAAUACUAAUGUGUAUUCAUGGUAGCUUUGCAGGACAAUCCUAGGGGAAGAGAUCCUGAAGAUCCAUGUCAAUCCGGGAUGGAAGAAGGGCAUGAAGAUGAACGAGCAUCGACACACAAUCACUGCGGACCUGGUGUUCAGUGUUCACACAGGAUGGCAAUGGAAUGGUGGUGAUAUAAGAGGUGCUCCUCACAUGCCCUAUUAGUACACACUAUAGACAUUGGACAUGUGCAACCUGACGGUACCUGAUGCCUAUCGGAUAAUUAUUCACUCUUUACUUAAUGCUAAUUAUCAUCGAUGUUUCCAAUUGUAGUAUAUAAAAUAAACAUUGACACAAA
Molecule: non-coding RNA, 2012 nt
Organism: Lolium perenne
Lineage: Eukaryota; Viridiplantae; Streptophyta; Magnoliopsida; Poales; Poaceae
Source: RefSeq, a predicted model, not a curated record